AGAGUCCUACGGGGGGCAGCAGUGAGGAAUAUUGGUCAAUGGACGCAAGUCUGAACCAGCCAUGCCGCGUGCAGGAAGACGGCUCUAUGAGUUGUAAACUGCUUUUGUACGAGGGUAAACGCAGAUACGUGUAUCUGUCUGAAAGUAUCGUACGAAUAAGGAUCGGCUAACUCCGUGCCAGCAGCCGCGGUAAUACGGAGGAUUCAAGCGUUAUCCGGAUUUAUUGGGUUUAAAGGGUGCGUAGGCGGGACCUUAAGUCAGCGGUAAAAUUGCGGUGCUCAACGCCGUAGAGCCGUUGAAACUGG
This 305-nucleotide ribosomal RNA is filed under the name uncultured bacterium. RNAcentral's name for it is "bacterial SSU rRNA". It matches the Rfam family "Bacterial small subunit ribosomal RNA", at positions 333 to 636 of the family's 1533-position model. The record is from RNAcentral.